Molecule: ribosomal RNA, 205 nt
Filed under: uncultured bacterium
Lineage: Bacteria
Description: partial 16S ribosomal RNA
Rfam family: Bacterial small subunit ribosomal RNA
Source: RNAcentral
CGGAUUGCAGCCUGCAACUCGGCUGCAUGAAGCCGGAAUCGCUAGUAAUCGCGGAUCAGAAUGCCGCGGUGAAUACGUUCCCGGGUCUUGUGCACACCGCCCGUCACACCAUGGGAGUCGGAAAUGCCCGAAGUCGGUGACCUAACGAAAGAAGGAGCCGCCGAAGGCAGGUCCGGUAACUGGGGUGAAGUCGUAACAAGGUACC